AUAUGAUGCGCCCCAGAUGCGCUCGGUUUGUGCAUUCCGGACACGACCUGGUUGAGCUCGAUCCGUUUCCAGGCCUGCCGGCGACUCCAUGACAUUCCCCAGCAUGGCAGAGCUGUGAGGUUGAUGUAAGGUUGGAUGAAACUAUUCCUCUCCCUGGGUCGGAGCUGGCUUUUUGGGACAUGAACCAUCUUAGACCUGGGAUCGUAAAAGACCAACCAUUACAACAUAACAUUGUGAAAGAUCAGCUUUUAUUAGACAAAGAUACUAAUCAAUAUGUGUCCAUCCAGUCGGUUGUAUAGCAAAAUGUUUUUAAGUGUUUUAUUGUCUUAUAAGCAUCAAAAUCCAUGAAUCUAUUGUCAUAUCUCAAUAAAGAAGCAUCGACAACCAAA
Notolabrus celidotus (New Zealand spotty) is the source of this 389-nucleotide long non-coding RNA. RefSeq lists it as uncharacterized. The transcript has 2 exons. NCBI's taxonomy places the organism in Eukaryota, Metazoa, Chordata, Actinopteri, Labriformes, Labridae. The record is from RefSeq and is a predicted model, not a curated record.